GUUUGAUCCUGGCUCAGGAUGAACGUUGGCGGCGUGCCUGAGAUAUGCAAGUCGAGCGACCCCUCCGAUUCGGAGGGGAGCGGCGAACGGCUGAGUAACACGUAGGAACCUGCCCCUAAGUCGAGGAUAGUUCGUCGAAAGGCGGAGUAAUACUCGAUGGUUCCCGCCUCUGGCGGGAUAAAGGAUCUAACCGUCCGCUUAGGGAGGGGCCUGCGACCUAUCAGGUAGUUGGUAGGGUAACGGCCUACCAAGCCGAUGACGGGUAGCUGGCCUUAUGAGGGUGGUCAGCCAGAGGGGGACUGAGACACGGCCCCCACUCCUACGGGAGGCAGCAAUCAGGAAUCGUCGGCAAUGGGCGAAAGCCUGACCGCGCGACGCCGCGUGCGGGAAGAAGCUCUUCGGAGUGUAAACCGCUGUGGUAGGGGAGGAAGCCCCGCCAUUGGCGGGGUUGACAGUACCCUACUAGAAAGGGGCCGCUAACUGCGUGCCAGAAGCGUCGGUAAUACGUGGGCCCCAAACGUUAUCCGGUGUCACUGGGCGUAAAGGGUCGUGUAGGCGUCCCGUCAAGUUUUACCUCAAAGACUAUGGCUCAACCAUAGGAAGGGGUAAAAAACUGAUGGGAUAGAAUUUCUUCAAAGGGGACGGGAACUUGCGGAGGAGCAGUGAAAUGCGUUGAUACCGCANGGAACACCAGUGGCGAAGGCGCGUCCCUUCGAGGGAAUUGACGCUGAGACACGAAAGCUAGGGGAGCGAAGCAGAUUAGAGACCUGCGUAGUCCUAGCCGUAAACGCAUGUCUGCUAGCUGUGCUUUUCCUCGCCUCAUCGGCGGGUUAGGCAUGGCGAA
This 844-nucleotide ribosomal RNA is filed under the name uncultured bacterium. RNAcentral describes it as "bacterial SSU rRNA". It matches the Rfam family "Bacterial small subunit ribosomal RNA", at positions 11 to 861 of the family's 1533-position model. The record is from RNAcentral.